UACGGAGGGUGCAAGCGUUAUCCGGAUUCACUGGGUUUAAAGGGUGCGUAGGCGGGUAGGUAAGUCAGUGGUGAAAUCCUGGAGCUCAACUCCAGAACUGCCAUUGAUACUAUCUAUCUUGAAUAUUGUGGAGGUAAGCGGAAUAUGUCAUGUAGCGGUGAAAUGCUUAGAUAUGACAUAGAACACCCAUUGCGAAGGCAGCUUACUACGCAUAUAUUGACGCUGAGGCACGAAAGCGUGGGGAUCAAACAGGAUUAGAUACCCUGGUAGUCCACGCCCUAAACGAUGGAUACUCGACAUACGCGAUACACUGUGUGUGUCUGAGCGAAAGCAUUAAGUAUCCCACCUGGGAAGUACGUUCGCAAGAAUGAAACUCAAAGGAAUUGGCGGGGGUCCGCACAAGCGGUGGAGUAUGUGGUUUAAUUCGAUGAUACGCGAGGAACCUUACCUGGGCUAGAAUGCUGGGAGACCGCUAGUGAAAGCUAGUUUUGUAGCAAUACACUGCCAGUAAGGUGCUGCAUGGCCGUCGUCAGCUCGUGCCGUGAGGUGUUGGGUUAAGUCCCGCAACGAGCGCAACCCCUAUCUUUAGUUGCCAACAGGUAAUGCUGGGAACUCUAAAGAAACUGCCGCCGUAAGGUGUGAGGAAGGAGGGGAUGAUGUCAGGUCAUCAUGGCCUUUAUGCCCAGGGCUACACACGUACUACAAUGGGGAAGACAAAGGGCUGCAACAUAGCGAUAUGAAGCCAAUCCCAAAAACUUCCUCUCAGUUCAGAUUGCAGGCUGCAACUCGCCUGCAUGAAGCUGGAAUCGCUAGUAAUCGUAUAUCAGCAAUGAUACGGUGAAUACGUUCCCGGACCU
This 857-nucleotide ribosomal RNA is filed under the name uncultured bacterium. RNAcentral describes it as "bacterial SSU rRNA". It matches the Rfam family "Bacterial small subunit ribosomal RNA", at positions 524 to 1381 of the family's 1533-position model. The record is from RNAcentral.